GAUGAACCCUGGCGGCGUGCCUAAUACAUGCAAGUCGAACGAGUUCUGAUUAUUGAAAGGUGCUUGCAUCUUGAUUUUAAUUUUGAACGAGUGGCGGACGGGUGAGUAACACGUGGGUAACCUGCCCUUAAGUGGGGGAUAACAUUUGGAAACAGAUGCUAAUACCGCAUAAAUCCAAGAACCGCAUGGUUCUUGGCUGAAAGAUGGCGUAAGCUAUCGCUUUUGGAUGGACCCGCGGCGUAUUAGCUAGUUGGUGAGGUAACGGCUCACCAAGGCAAUGAUACGUAGCCGAACUGAGAGGUUGAUCGGCCACAUUGGGACUGAGACACGGCCCAAACUCCUACGGGAGGCAGCAGUAGGGAAUCUUCCACAAUGGACGCAAGUCUGAUGGAGCAACGCCGCGUGAGUGAAGAAGGCUUUCGGGUCGUAAAACUCUGUUGUUGGAGAAGAAUGGUCAGCAGAGUAACUGUUGUCGGCGUGACGGUAUCCAACCAGAAAGCCACGGCUAACUACGUGCCAGCAGCCGCGGUAAUACGUAGGUGGCAAGCGUUAUCCGGAUUUAUUGGGCGUAAAGCGAGCGCAGGCGGUUUUUUAAGUCUGAUGUGAAAGCCCUCGGCUUAACCGAGGAAGUGCAUCGGAAACUGGGAAACUUGAGUGCAGAAGAGGACAGUGGAACUCCAUGUGUAGCGGUGAAAUGCGUAGAUAUAUGGAAGAACACCAGUGGCGAAGGCGGCUGUCUGGUCUGUAACUGACGCUGAGGCUCGAAAGCAUGGGUAGCGAACAGGAUUAGAUACCCUGAUAGUCCAUGCCGUAAACGAUGAAUGCUAGGUGUUGGAGGGUUUCCGCCCUUCAGUGCCGCAGCUAACGCAUUAAGCAUUCCGCCUGGGGAGUACGACCGCAAGGUUGAAACUCAAAGGAAUUGACGGGGGCCCGCACAAGCGGUGGAGCAUGUGGUUUAAUUCGAAGCAACGCGAAGAACCUUACCAGGUCUUGACAUCUUUUGAUCACCUGAGAGAUCAGGUUUCCCCUUCGGGGGCAAAAUGACAGGUGGUGCAUGGUUGUCGUCAGCUCGUGUCGUGAGAUGUUGGGUUAAGUCCCGCAACGAGCGCAACCCUUAUGACUAGUUGCCAGCAUUUAGUUGGGCACUCUAGUAAGACUGCCGGUGACAAACCGGAGGAAGGUGGGGAUGACGUCAAAUCAUCAUGCCCCUUAUGACCUGGGCUACACACGUGCUACAAUGGAUGGUACAACGAGUUGCGAGACCGCGAGGUCAAGCUAAUCUCUUAAAGCCAUUCUCAGUUCGGACUGUAGGCUGCAACUCGCCUACACGAAGUCGGAAUCGCUAGUAAUCGCGGAUCAGCACGCCGCGGUGAAUACGUUCCCGGGCCUUGUACACACCGCCCGUCACACCAUGAGAGUUUGUAACACCCGAAGCCGGUGGCGUAACCCUUUUAGGGAGCGAGCCGUCUAAGGUGGGACAAAUGAUUAGGGUG
This 1493-nucleotide ribosomal RNA is filed under the name uncultured organism. RNAcentral's name for it is "SSU rRNA". It matches the Rfam family "Bacterial small subunit ribosomal RNA". The record is from RNAcentral.